This 436-nucleotide unclassified non-coding RNA is filed under the name Hevea brasiliensis (rubber tree). The record is from RNAcentral. Lineage: Eukaryota; Viridiplantae; Streptophyta; Magnoliopsida; Malpighiales; Euphorbiaceae.
GGCAGCUGCACUGGUAAGUCACUCGCAUGUGAUGCAUUAUCUUCCGAAACCACACUCCAAUUGCAGCAUAAUUUUAUGCUUACACUCCUUGAAAUUUGUCACUCCACACAAUAGUUUCUUCAAUUUUUUCAUUGAAAUGAUAGUUGUUAACUAAACCUAAUCUUGGUAACAAAAUACUAUUUAUGCUGUGCCAUCUACCUGGAAUUGACUAAUUAAAAUGCAAAUAUUACUAUUCAAAAAAAAGGAAAAUUGAAUAUUACAUUUAACAAGUUUCUCCAAAAUUCAUAGGGCAGAUUCCAUUACUCAUCUAAGACGGAUUUAAUUUCCAUAAACUGUGAUCAUGACCAUCUUCAUUUCCUUCUCUCCAAAAAAUUUACUUCUGUUAAGUUAUGGAGGGCAGAAAUGCUAAACUGGAAACUAUUCUAGGAUAACAAAC